UCCGAAAGGGGCUAGCGUUGUUCGGAAUUACUGGGCGUAAAGCGCACGUAGGCGGCCUUUUAAGUCGGGGGUGAAAUCCCGGGGCUCAACCCCGGAACUGCCUUUGAUACUGGGAAGCUAGAGGAUGGGAGAGGCGAGUGGAAUUCCGAGUGUAGAGGUGAAAUUCGUAGAUAUUCGGAAGAACACCAGUGGCGAAGGCGACUGGCUGGACCAUUUCUGACGCUGAGGUGCGAAAGCGUGGGGAGCAAACAGG
Molecule: ribosomal RNA, 253 nt
Filed under: uncultured bacterium
Lineage: Bacteria
Description: partial 16S ribosomal RNA
Rfam family: Bacterial small subunit ribosomal RNA
Source: RNAcentral